AAUAUUUGAUGGGCUGUUUAUAAUCAAAGCCAUCUCCCCGCCCUUAAGAAGAGCCAUCAGGACCGUCGGUACAAGGUCCUGCAUCUACUGAAACCAACAGCUAUGCAGCAUUCUGUUAGGAGAGAGAAGAGAGAGAGAGAGGCCAUGACUUUGUUUGGUAUCCACGAAUUGGCGCGAAUGCAGUGGAGAAAACACCGAACUGGAAGGCCAUCGCGAAGAAUGUCAGCCUCUCAACGCCAAUCGAUCUCUCUUCACCACAUUCAGUUCCACUCACUCCCACAUUUUUUUCAUUUUCCUGCAUUUCGCUUUCUCUCUCCUCAAGCUUCCGCAGGAAAAAUUUGCAUUGCAUUUAUCGUUGAUAAGCUCUUGAUCUGGUUUGAUUUGUGUCAAAAAAUUAGGGUUUUCUGUCCUCUUUGGCCCUGCUUUAUCCAAUUAUCGUUAAUUUUUGGGGGGACCGUGUUUUCUUGCUGGAUCUCAGUCGGCCAUGGUUAUGGUUCGAGUGUUUCAAUUCCUGAUACAGCAAGAUCUGAUGGAGAAAGAAGUUGUUUGCCAAUAAACUUUUCAUUGAAAGCUUAAAAAUGGGAACUCCUGUCAACAUCAUUGUAGGUUCUCAUGUCUGGAUUGAAGAUCCAGAACAAUCUUGGAUUGAUGGACAGGUAUCAAAGAUUACCGGGAAAGAUGCUGAGAUUGAAACUAGCAAUGGGAAGAAGGUUGUUGCAAACUUAUCAAAAAUAUAUCCAAAAGAUAUGGAACAUCCUGCUGGUGGAGUUGAUGACAUGACAAAGCUAUCUUAUUUACAUGAGCCUGGUGUUCUGCAGAAUCUGAAAACAAGAUAUGAACUGAAUGAAAUCUAUACCUAUACUGGGAAUAUACUUAUCGCCAUAAAUCCAUUCCAAAGAUUGCCUCAUAUUUAUGAUGCUCAUAUGAUGCAACAAUACAAGGGAGCACCAUUUGGAGAACUAAGUCCGCAUGUUUUUGCGGUUGCUGAUGUUGCAUAUAGGGCAAUGAUUAAUGAGGGUAAAAGCAAUUCAAUUCUAGUCAGUGGUGAAAGUGGAGCUGGUAAAACAGAGACGACGAAAAUGCUUAUGCAGUACCUUGCCUUUUUGGGAGGUCGAGUUGCUACUGAAGGAAGAACAGUGGAACAACAAGUUCUUGAAUCAAAUCCAGUCCUUGAAGCAUUUGGUAAUGCUAAAACCGUUAGAAAUAACAAUUCGAGUCGUUUUGGUAAAUUCGUGGAGAUACAGUUUGAUAAGCAUGGAAGAAUUUCAGGAGCCGCCAUUAGAACUUAUCUUCUAGAGAGAUCUCGAGUAUGCCAAGUAUCAGAUCCCGAGCGUAACUACCAUUGCUUUUACCUUCUUUGUGCCGCGCCACAGGAGGAAGUUGAGAAGUACAAGUUGGGAAACCCAAAAUCAUUCCACUAUCUUAACCAAUCAAACUGCUAUGAAUUGGUCGGUGUAAGUGAUGCCCAUGACUAUCUAGCCACUAGGAGAGCAAUGGAUAUUGUUGGAAUAAGUCAAAAGGAUCAGGAAGCAAUUUUCAGAGUUGUUGCUUCAAUACUUCAUCUCGGAAAUCUUGUAUUCUCUAAGGGAAAGGAUGCUGAUUCAUCAGUUUUGAAAGAUGAUCAGGCAAAAUUCCAUCUCAAAAUGACAUCAGAGCUUCUCAUGUGUGAUGCUCAGGCCCUAGAAGAUGCAUUAUGUAAGCGUGUCAUGAUCACACCUGAGGAAGUUAUAAAGCGAAGCCUUGAUCCUCAAAGUGCCGCAAUUAGCAGGGAUGGUUUAGCUAAGACAAUAUAUUCUCGAUUAUUUGACUGGCUGGUGGAUAAAAUUAACAACUCAAUUGGACAAGAUCCUAACUCAAAACAAUUGAUUGGGGUUCUUGACAUCUAUGGUUUUGAAAGCUUUAAAACUAACAGUUUUGAGCAAUUUUGUAUUAACUUCACAAAUGAGAAGCUGCAGCAGCAUUUCAACCAGCAUGUCUUCAAGAUGGAACAAGAGGAAUACACAAAGGAAGCAAUUGACUGGAGCUAUAUUGAGUUUGUUGAUAACCAAGAUGUCUUGGAUCUUAUUGAAAAGAAACCUGGUGGAAUCGUUGCUCUCCUUGAUGAAGCUUGUAUGUUUCCAAAGUCAACACAUGAAACAUUCGCAAAUAAGCUUUAUCAGACAUUUAAGACUCACAAGCGAUUUGUCAAACCAAAACUAUCUCGCACAGAUUUUGCCAUUGCUCAUUAUGCCGGGGAGGUCCUGUAUCAGUCUGACCAGUUUCUAGACAAGAACAAGGAUUAUGUGGUUCCUGAGCAUCAAGAUUUGUUGGGCGCUUCCAAAUGUCCUUUUGUUGCAGGGCUUUUCCCUCCACUUCCUGAGGAAACAUCUAAAUCGUCAAAAUUUUCCUCCAUCGGUUCCCGUUUUAAGCUUCAACUACAACAGUUAAUGGAUACACUGAAUUCUACAGAACCUCACUACAUCAGAUGUGUCAAGCCAAACAACCUGCUAAAACCUGCCGUAUUUGAGAAUGUCAACAUCAUGCAACAACUGCGUUGUGGCGGUGUUUUAGAGGCAAUCAGAAUCAGUUGUGCUGGAUACCCCACUCGCCGCCCUUUCUUUGAAUUCAUAAACAGAUUUGGGCUUCUUGCCCCAGAAGUUCUGGAGGGAAACUAUGAUGAAAAGGUUUCUUGCCAAAAGAUUUUGGAAAAGAAGGGGCUUAAAGGGUUUCAGAUAGGUAAAACAAAGGUAUUUUUAAGAGCUGGACAGAUGGCUGAGCUAGAUGCGCUGAGAGCUGAGGUACUCAGUAAUGCUGCAAAAACUCUCCAGAGACGUAUACGAACUCAUAUUGCUCGCAAACGAUUUAUUGCACUGCAGAAGGCUAGUAUACUAUUGCAAUCAAUGUGUAGAGGAAGACUGGCUUGCAAACUAUAUGAACACAUGAGAAGAGAGGCAGCUGCUAUCACAGUUCAAAAGCAUGUACGCAAAUACGAAGCUAGAAAAGCCUAUAAAAAACUGCAUGUUGCUGCACUUGUCUUGCAAACAGGUUUAAGGGCAAUGACUGCUCGUAAAGAAUUCAGAUUUAGGAAACAAACUAAAGGCGCAACAAUUAUUCAGGCCAGGUGGCGCUGUUAUGCAGCUGCCUCAUACUAUAAGAGGCUCAAGAGAGGAUCUAUUGUCACACAAACAAGAUGGAGGGGCCGGAUUGCCAGGAAAGAGCUUAGGAAGCUCAAAAUGGCUGCAAGAGAAACUGGUGCUUUAAAAGAAGCAAAGGAUAAACUUGAAAAAAGCGUAGAGGAACUAACUUGGCGUUUAUCGUUGGAAAAGCGUCUAAGGACAGACCUUGAAGAAGCAAAGGCCCAGGAGAUAGCAAAAUUGCAGAACUCCUUGCAAGAAAUGCAGAACAAAAUUGAUGAAUUAAACACAUUAGUGGUCAAGGAACGAGAAGCUGCAAAGAAGGCUAUUGAUGAAGCACCUCCUGUCAUAAAAGAAACCGAAGUUCUUGUUGAAGAUACCAAAAAGGUUGAGUCUCUGACAGCAGAAGUGGAAAUUUUGAAGGACUCUUUGGAUAAAGAGAAACAAAGAGCUGAUGAUUCUGAAAGGAAAUACAAUGAAGCUCAAGAGGCCAGCGAAGAGAGACAGAAAAAAUUAGAAGAAACAGAUAAAAAGCUUCAUCAACUUCAGGAAACCUUGCAAAGGCAAGAAGAGAAGCUUACCAAUUUAGAAUCAGAGAACCAAGUUCUACGCCAACAAGCUGUAUCUAUGGCAUCCAACAAAUUCCUUUCAGGACGCUCCAGAUCAAUCAUGCAGAGGGUUGAAAGUGGGCAUAUCUCAGGCGAUGUAAAGGCAGCUGCGGAUUUACAUAGUGCUUCAAUAAACCAUAGGGACCUAUCUGAAGUGGAAGAGAAACCACAAAAAUCACUGAAUGAGAAACAGCAGGAGAAUCAAGAAUUGCUCAUUCGAUGUAUCGCCCAACACUUGGGCUUUGCAGGGAACAGACCAAUUGCUGCCUGUAUCAUAUACAAAUGCCUCUUGCAGUGGAGAUCAUUUGAAGUUGAGAGGACAAGUGUCUUUGAUCGCAUAAUUCAGACGAUAGGCAAGGCUAUUGAGUUCUUUGGGUCUCAGAACCAGGAUAAUAAUGACAUCUUGGCCUACUGGUUAUCCAAUGCUUCAACUCUUCUCCUGUUGCUCCAGCGCACUCUGAAGGCAAGUGGAGCCGCUGGGAUGGCUCCACAACGACGUCGAUCAUCUUCAGCUACUCUCUUUGGGAGGAUGACACAAAGUUUCCGAGGGGCCCCUCAAGGAGUCAAUCUUUCCUUAAUAAAUGGUGGCACUAGUGGUGGUGUGGAUACCUUGCGGCAAGUUGAGGCCAAAUACCCAGCCUUGCUGUUCAAACAGCAGCUCACAGCAUAUGUAGAAAAGAUUUAUGGAAUGAUUCGAGAUAAUCUGAAGAAAGAAAUAUCACCACUGCUUGGGUUGUGCAUCCAGGCACCAAGAACGUCCAGAGCAAGCUUAGUUAAAGGAUCAUCACGUUCAGUUGCCAACACUGCAGCCCAACAAGCUUUAAUUGCACACUGGCAAGGAAUAGUCAAGAGCCUUGGAAAUUUCUUGAACACUCUGAAAGCAAAUCAUGUACCCCCGUUCUUAGUUCGAAAGGUGUUCACACAAAUAUUUUCCUUCAUCAAUGUUCAACUAUUCAACAGCCUUUUAUUGAGGAGAGAAUGCUGUUCAUUUAGUAAUGGUGAAUAUGUUAAAGCUGGAUUGGCUGAACUGGAACAUUGGUGUUACAAGGCGACAGAUGAGUAUGCAGGUUCAGCAUGGGAUGAGCUUAAGCAUAUUAGACAGGCAAUUGGGUUCCUGGUCAUACAUCAAAAAUCAAAGAAAACACUUGAUGAAAUUAGUCAUGAUCUAUGCCCGGUCCUCAGUAUACAACAGCUUUAUCGUAUCAGUACAAUGUACUGGGAUGACAAGUAUGGCACGCAUAGUGUGUCUUCGGAUGUGAUAUCCAAUAUGAGGGUUUUGAUGACAGAAGACUCAAACAAUGCAGUUAGUAAUUCUUUCUUGUUGGAUGAUGAUUCAAGCAUCCCAUUUUCGGUUGAUGAUUUGUCAAAGUCGAUGGAACAGAUAGAUAUUGCAGACAUUGAACCGCCUCCUCUUAUUCGUGAGAAUUCGGGCUUUAGUUUCUUGUUGCCACGUUCUGAUUAAUCACCACCACCAUUAUAGAGACAGUAGCAACGAAUGGUGUCGCUCUAGCAGUCUCAGUAGGUUGCAGCUACAAACAGGAAUGUAUUUGGCUCCCUAAUCAAUGGAACAACAAAUAUUCUCUCAUGAUUGUACAACUAGCUUAACUUUAAGAAGGAAAGAAAUGCUCUAUUUUGUUGAGAAUGUGUUCUUCGUGGCUCUCCGGGAUCUACCCUUCUAAGUUUAUUAGGGUUCUAGCAGAGGUAUCAUUUCUGCCAUCAAUGGUGGAACGUCCUUCCAUCCAUUAUUCUUCAGUGGCCGUUUAACUGUUAAAAAUAUGAUAUCUCGGCAUGCUGGAGUUCACGUUGGUGAAGAAAGAAACGAAAGGCAGCGAACAAGCAGCCCUAGCAUCAAUUCAGCUGCCAGUUGCAUCCUACGUUAUGAAAAUUACAUUGAACCCCCAACUCCCAUUUUCUUACUCAGUAUGAACAAAGGUAAUAGAAUCAGCAACAUAGCUAUUAGCAACUGGACAAACAGUGUAGUGAAGUACUUCCUAUGGUAAAAGGGGCAAGCAGAUUGGCUGAUUAGUAA
This is an RNA transcript of Tripterygium wilfordii, 5750 nucleotides long. It is a transcript of the gene named myosin-11, with no coding region annotated. The record is from RefSeq and is a predicted model, not a curated record. NCBI's taxonomy places the organism in Eukaryota, Viridiplantae, Streptophyta, Magnoliopsida, Celastrales, Celastraceae. The transcript has 40 exons.